GACAUCUUUGUUCCUUCCUACAAUAUCAUGAGUUAAAUCAAAUGAAAGAUUUAAUGAAGACCAUGGCAGAAAUAUUCAGAAAAUAGGAAGUUGAUGAGUAAUGGAUGUGAAAACACAUCACACUGUGAAGCAUGCUAACAAUAAUGUUGAUACCAAAUUUCAGUGUGCUCAGAUUCAUAGUUCCUGAGAAUGUUGUGAUGAAAAUUGCAUACAUGGUA
This is a long non-coding RNA of Mytilus californianus (California mussel), 218 nucleotides long. RefSeq lists it as uncharacterized. Lineage: Eukaryota; Metazoa; Mollusca; Bivalvia; Mytilida; Mytilidae. The record is from RefSeq and is a predicted model, not a curated record. The transcript is spliced from 2 exons.